CCUACGGGGGGCUGCAGUAAGGGAUAUUGGGCAAUGGGCGAAAGCCUGACCCAGCGACGCCGCGUGCGGGAGGAAGCCCUUCGGGGUGUAAACCGCUGUCAGGGGUAAGAAAGUCCGUUUCGGCGGAUUGAUCUAACCCAGAGGAAGUCACGGCUAACUCUGUGCCAGCAGCCGCGGUAAGACAGAGGUGGCUAGCGUUGUUCGGUAUCACUGGGCUUAAAGCGUGUGUAGGCGGAAGCGUAAGCAUUUUGUGAAAUCCCCCGGCUUAACCGGGGAAUCGCUUGAUGUACUGCGUUUCUUGAGGCAGGUAGGGGUGCGAGGAACUCUUGGUGGAGCGGUGGAAUGCGUAGAUAUCAAGAGGAACGCCGGUGGUGAAGACGUCGCACUGGGCCUGUCCUGACGCUGAGACACGAAAGCGUGGGGAGCGAACGGGCUUAGAUACCCUGGUAGUC
This 452-nucleotide ribosomal RNA is filed under the name uncultured bacterium. Its description in RNAcentral is "bacterial SSU rRNA". It matches the Rfam family "Bacterial small subunit ribosomal RNA", at positions 338 to 795 of the family's 1533-position model. The record is from RNAcentral.